This 429-nucleotide ribosomal RNA is filed under the name uncultured bacterium. Its description in RNAcentral is "bacterial SSU rRNA". It matches the Rfam family "Bacterial small subunit ribosomal RNA", at positions 355 to 776 of the family's 1533-position model. The record is from RNAcentral.
UGGGGAAUUUUGGACAAUGGGCGCAAGCCUGAUCCAGCCAUUCCGCGUGAGUGAAGAAGGCCUUCGGGUUGUAAAGCUCUUUCGCAAGGGAAGAAAACUUACUUUUUAAUAAAGAGUGAGGUUGACGGUACCUUGAUAAGAAGCACCGGCUAACUACGUGCCAGCAGCCGCGGUAAUACGUAGGGUGCGAGCGUUAAUCGGAAUUACUGGGCAUAAAACGUACACAAGCGGUUUUGUAAAUCAAAUAUGAAAUCCCCGAGCUCAACUUAGGAACUGCAUUUGAAACUACAAGACUAGAAUAUGUCAGAGGGGGGUAGAAUUCCACGUGUAGCAGUGAAAUGCGUAGAGAUGUGGAGGAAUAUCAAUGGCGAAGGCAGCCCCCUGGGAUAAUAUUGACGCUCAUGCACGAAAGCGUGGGGAGCAAACAGG